Molecule: ribosomal RNA, 385 nt
Filed under: marine copepod environmental sample
Lineage: Eukaryota; Metazoa; Arthropoda; Copepoda
Description: SSU rRNA
Rfam family: Eukaryotic small subunit ribosomal RNA
Source: RNAcentral
AGCUCCAAUAGCGUAUAUUAAAGUUGUUGUGGUUAAAAAGCUCGUAGUUGGAUCUCGGCGGGCUGGGGGCGGUUCGCUUCAUUGAGUUCUACUGCCCUUUAGGUCGGGGUUUUGCCAGAGGUCCCGGGGGGCCUUUACUCGGGUGUCCUGCGAUGCUGGCAGGUUUACUUUGAAAAAAUUAGAGUGCUCAAAGCAGGCUUUUACGCCUGAAUAUUCGUGCAUGGAAUAAUAGAAUAGGAAGUCGUUUCUAUUUUGUUGGUUUUCGGAAAUCGAGUUAAUGAUUAAUAGGGACAGUCGGGGGCAUUUGUAUUCAAACGACAGAGGUGAAAUUCUUGGACCGUUUGAAGACAAACUACUGCGAAAGCAUUUGCCAAGAAUGUUUUCA